Long non-coding RNA from Triticum aestivum (bread wheat), 624 nucleotides. RefSeq lists it as uncharacterized. Lineage: Eukaryota; Viridiplantae; Streptophyta; Magnoliopsida; Poales; Poaceae. The transcript has 3 exons. The record is from RefSeq and is a predicted model, not a curated record.
UGUUGCCCUAUUUCAUAGGUGGAAUGGCAGCCAUAUGGCGCCGAUGACAGACUUGGGUACACCCCGGAGUUUAGCAUCAACCCGAUGUGCUUGCGGGAUAGGGAUCUCUGGCUUAUGCGGUGCCCACUGAUAUGCAACUGGGUUGUUGAGUUUCAUUUGCCACAUCGCGUGUUUCGUCAGUUUGGUCUGUUCCAGCCUCACCCGCCGGAAUGGGUGGAUACGGACAAAGCACUUCAUAGGUUGGACAGGAGAAGGCAGCGGAAGAUAAAGGACUGGGACAAGCAUCAUGCUUCGUAUGUUACCCGCUUCCAGCUUUGCGUGGAGCAAGCUCGUAGCAGUGCACGCGCGCAGCUUCGUGAGCAUAACCCACUUGCUUUUGAUAACUACAUACGAUGACUUCUUGAAAAUACUCGAGUUGAGAUAUGCCCGCCGGCAUAUAAUGAGGAUAUUCUUGAAGAACCCGUAAACUUUGAGGAUCUAUCAAAGGGGAAGUACAACAGAGAUAUCAGGGUAGGGCAAGGAGUCCCUGCUGUUCCGGUGAUUAACUAUGUGCGCACCGAGAUCAAGAAAGCAGCUGAUGAGAGCCAGUCUAUUCUCGAGAACACACCGGUUGGAAAAGGCAAU